AGAGCCUGACAACCCAGUUCCUCCUCCCUCAACCUGUAGAAACAAGCCUGUUACUAUUACCGAGCCAGUUUCUACUGCCUCAACCAAUAUAGAACCUACAAGUCAUCCAGCUCAACAGGAUUACACAGACGAACCGGAGUCUGACAAGACACAUUCUCCUGCCUCAUCAAAUAUUGUAGGUGCAACUGGAGCAGAUGUGUAUUGCUUCACAUACUAGAAGAAUCCAAUAACUGUAAAAUUUAUUAAAGUGUAUGAACAUCCAAAAGCUGGAGCCAUGUAAGUUUUCAAGCAGUUGUUACUCUUUAAAUUUAUAUUAUGAUAAGUUAUGACGACCAAUUACUAUGUGAAAGUACUUGAUUUUUUUGUUUUUAUUGCAGUUUUACCCUA
This is a long non-coding RNA of Pangasianodon hypophthalmus (striped catfish), 387 nucleotides long. RefSeq lists it as uncharacterized. The record is from RefSeq and is a predicted model, not a curated record. The transcript has 5 exons. NCBI's taxonomy places the organism in Eukaryota, Metazoa, Chordata, Actinopteri, Siluriformes, Pangasiidae.